Molecule: long non-coding RNA, 1428 nt
Filed under: Ursus maritimus (polar bear)
Lineage: Eukaryota; Metazoa; Chordata; Mammalia; Carnivora; Ursidae
Description: lncRNA (ENSUMAG00000013342.1)
Source: RNAcentral
GUCAGCAAUCAAUGGACAACACAGAUAGUGCUUCUACAAAAUUCAUUUGAGGUACAUAACAUUUAGGAAAGCAAUAGCAUAUGACAUCAUAUAAACCUCACUCUGCUCAGGAUCCAGUCACAGCCCUAAAACUGUUGCAUUUCACCCUUUGCGAAAGGUGGAACAGUGGGUCUGUGCCUUAAGAGACCUCGUUGCAACAAAAAUGGACCUUUGAGGGGAGAAUCGUCCAAUAUUCACCUUUCUGUAAGGUCUAUCCUACCCCUCCCUGUGAACAAAGCCCACUCUUACAAAUCUUUCUGGGUGACCACCAAUGGCUUCCACUUUGCAUCAUUCACGUAAGAAGCUUGCUGAGCCCCCGUAGGGAACAGACUGUGAGCCCCAAAGAAAAGAAUGGAAAGAAAAAAGACGGCAGGUGACGGGGAGAACAAAGGCCAAUGAAAUGUAGAGAAAAGUAAAUGUCCUUGGCACCUGCAGCCCAUGAGUACAAAGCCCAGACAGACAGAGCAGGACAGUCCUCCAGGAACUCACAAGUGCGCUACGGGUAAUGCUUUGCUGGAGGUAAAAAGCAACCUCCGCUGGACAGUGGCCAGACCUCCAGGAUCCUGGAAGUCUCCUUGAACACCUAGAAAUCCCUUUGGAAACUUCCUUAUCUCUACCCUCUGCCCCCAAUGUACAGGAUAUGAUCAUUCGCUCCUCAAAAUUCCAGGGCAGCUCUUCUUGCCCAGGGGUCCCAUCCCGGAGCUUCAGUACAAACACCCUUUUGCCCCGGAGAUGCCUCAAGAGUUCUUUGCUGACCGUUCGCUCCUGGCCCACAUCGCAUCAGCAGACCUGGCUUUUUUCCCUCGAAAGGCCGACUUUGACUGCAGAAAUCUCAUCGAAGGGGAAGCGCCCAGCGGUGGAGGGACGGAAGGCAGUGGCAGAGUGGGGCGCCUGGGACCCCACCAAGCCCCUGCUGUGAACUCAGCCCUGAGUAAAGCCACACCAAUAGGGACUCACAGGAACUGGGUUACUCUUCUACCUGAAGCAACAAAGCAACACUGCAACAGCACCACACAAGAUGCCCGAAAUGCAGAUUUCCAAGAUCCUGGGCAUCAGGUAAAGAGGACAGCCAUCCCAGACACGUGGAAACACCCAGGGGAGCGGAGCCCUACAAGUGCUCCAAGGUACUGCCUCCAGAGAGUUUCCAAGCAAGGCACCGGAGGGAAGGGCUGCUGAAGAGGAGCCCUGCGGACCUCGUAGAGUUGAGGACACUGGUCUGAGAGACCCCUGGACAGAGGAGAGACGGGGAGGACAGGGCUGUGCAAAGUCACCUAGCCAGAGCUGUGUUGGGGCCCUAGGGUGGUGUGCAGUGAGGUCCUGCUCAGGGCCUCCAUGGAGGCAAGGCCAGCAAGUCAGGCGGCCAUCCUUUGAACAGGGCCUGGUGCAUAC